RNAcentral lists this ribosomal RNA (451 nucleotides) under uncultured bacterium. RNAcentral describes it as "bacterial SSU rRNA". It matches the Rfam family "Bacterial small subunit ribosomal RNA", at positions 29 to 524 of the family's 1533-position model. The record is from RNAcentral.
AGCGAACGCUGGCGGCAGGCUUAACACAUGCAAGUCGAACGCGCGUAGCAAUACGUGAGUGGCAGACGGGUGAGGAACACGUGGGAAUAUGCCCUUUGGUUCGGAAUAACUCAGGGAGCCUUGAGCUAAUACCGGAUAUCUCCGAGAGGAGAAAGAUUUAUCGCCAAAGGAUUAGCCCGCGUCUGAUUAGCUAGUUGGUGAGGUAACGGCUCACCAAGGCGACGAUCAGUAGCUGGUCUGAGAGGAUGAUCAGCCACACUGGGACUGAGACACGGCCCAGACUCCUACGGGAGGCAGCAGUGGGGAAUAUUGGACAAUGGGCGCAAGCCUGAUCCAGCCAUGCCGCGUGAGUGAUGAAGGCCUUAGGGUUGUAAAGCUCUUUUGUCCGGGAAGAUAAUGACUGUACCGGAAGAAUAAGCCCGGCUAACUUCGUGCCAGCAGCCGCGGUAAU